Molecule: ribosomal RNA, 2900 nt
Filed under: Escherichia coli 201600.1
Lineage: Bacteria; Pseudomonadati; Pseudomonadota; Gammaproteobacteria; Enterobacterales; Enterobacteriaceae
Description: bacterial LSU rRNA
Rfam family: Bacterial large subunit ribosomal RNA
Source: RNAcentral
UAAGCGACUAAGCGUACACGGUGGAUGCCCUGGCAGUCAGAGGCGAUGAAGGACGUGCUAAUCUGCGAUAAGCGUCGGUAAGGUGAUAUGAACCGUUAUAACCGGCGAUUUCCGAAUGGGGAAACCCAGUGUGUUUCGACACACUAUCAUUAACUGAAUCCAUAGGUUAAUGAGGCGAACCGGGGGAACUGAAACAUCUAAGUACCCCGAGGAAAAGAAAUCAACCGAGAUUCCCCCAGUAGCGGCGAGCGAACGGGGAGCAGCCCAGAGCCUGAAUCAGUGUGUGUGUUAGUGGAAGCGUCUGGAAAGGCGCGCGAUACAGGGUGACAGCCCCGUACACAAAAAUGCACAUGCUGUGAGCUCGAUGAGUAGGGCGGGACACGUGGUAUCCUGUCUGAAUAUGGGGGGACCAUCCUCCAAGGCUAAAUACUCCUGACUGACCGAUAGUGAACCAGUACCGUGAGGGAAAGGCGAAAAGAACCCCGGCGAGGGGAGUGAAAAAGAACCUGAAACCGUGUACGUACAAGCAGUGGGAGCCUCUUUUAUGGGGUGACUGCGUACCUUUUGUAUAAUGGGUCAGCGACUUAUAUUCUGUAGCAAGGUUAACCGAAUAGGGGAGCCGAAGGGAAACCGAGUCUUAACUGGGCGUUAAGUUGCAGGGUAUAGACCCGAAACCCGGUGAUCUAGCCAUGGGCAGGUUGAAGGUUGGGUAACACUAACUGGAGGACCGAACCGACUAAUGUUGAAAAAUUAGCGGAUGACUUGUGGCUGGGGGUGAAAGGCCAAUCAAACCGGGAGAUAGCUGGUUCUCCCCGAAAGCUAUUUAGGUAGCGCCUCGUGAAUUCAUCGUCCGGGGGUAGAGCACUGUUUCGGCAAGGGGGUCAUCCCGACUUACCAACCCGAUGCAAACUGCGAAUACCGGAGAAUGUUAUCACGGGAGACACACGGCGGGUGCUAACGUCCGUCGUGAAGAGGGAAACAACCCAGACCGCCAGCUAAGGUCCCAAAGUCAUGGUUAAGUGGGAAACGAUGUGGGAAGGCCCAGACAGCCAGGAUGUUGGCUUAGAAGCAGCCAUCAUUUAAAGAAAGCGUAAUAGCUCACUGGUCGAGUCGGCCUGCGCGGAAGAUGUAACGGGGCUAAACCAUGCACCGAAGCUGCGGCAGCGACGCUGAUGCGUUGUUGGGUAGGGGAGCGUUCUGUAAGCCUGUGAAGGUGUGCUGUGAGGCAUGCUGGAGGUAUCAGAAGUGCGAAUGCUGACAUAAGUAACGAUAAAGCGGGUGAAAAGCCCGCUCGCCGGAAGACCAAGGGUUCCUGUCCAACGUUAAUCGGGGCAGGGUGAGUCGACCCCUAAGGCGAGGCCGAAAGGCGUAGUCGAUGGGAAACAGGUUAAUAUUCCUGUACUUGGUGUUACUGCGAAGGGGGGACGGAGAAGGCUAUGUUGGCCGGGCGACGGUUGUCCCGGUUUAAGCGUGUAGGCUGGUUUUCCAGGCAAAUCCGGAAAAUCAAGGCUGAGGCGUGAUGACGAGGCACUACGGUGCUGAAGCAACAAAUGCCCUGCUUCCAGGAAAAGCCUCUAAGCAUCAGGUAACAUCAAAUCGUACCCAACCGAACACAGGUGGUCAGGUAGAGAAUACCAAGGCGCUUGAGAGAACUCGGGUGAAGGAACUAGGCAAAAUGGUGCCGUAACUUCGGGAGAAGGCACGCUGAUAUGUAGGUGAAGUCCCUCGCGGAUGGAGCUGAAAUCAGUCGAAGAUACCAGCUGGCUGCAACUGUUUAUUAAAAACACAGCACUGUGCAAACACGAAAGUGGACGUAUACGGUGUGACGCCUGCCCGGUGCCGGAAGGUUAAUUGAUGGGGUCAGCGCAAGCGAAGCUCUUGAUCGAAGCCCCGGUAAACGGCGGCCGUAACUAUAACGGUCCUAAGGUAGCGAAAUUCCUUGUCGGGUAAGUUCCGACCUGCACGAAUGGCGUAAUGAUGGCCAGGCUGUCUCCACCCGAGACUCAGUGAAAUUGAACUCGCUGUGAAGAUGCAGUGUACCCGCGGCAAGACGGAAAGACCCCGUGAACCUUUACUAUAGCUUGACACUGAACAUUGAGCCUUGAUGUGUAGGAUAGGUGGGAGGCUUUGAAGUGUGGACGCCAGUCUGCAUGGAGCCGACCUUGAAAUACCACCCUUUAAUGUUUGAUGUUCUAACGUUGACCCGUAAUCCGGGUUGCGGACAGUGUCUGGUGGGUAGUUUGACUGGGGCGGUCUCCUCCUAAAGAGUAACGGAGGAGCACGAAGGUUGGCUAAUCCUGGUCGGACAUCAGGAGGUUAGUGCAAUGGCAUAAGCCAGCUUGACUGCGAGCGUGACGGCGCGAGCAGGUGCGAAAGCAGGUCAUAGUGAUCCGGUGGUUCUGAAUGGAAGGGCCAUCGCUCAACGGAUAAAAGGUACUCCGGGGAUAACAGGCUGAUACCGCCCAAGAGUUCAUAUCGACGGCGGUGUUUGGCACCUCGAUGUCGGCUCAUCACAUCCUGGGGCUGAAGUAGGUCCCAAGGGUAUGGCUGUUCGCCAUUUAAAGUGGUACGCGAGCUGGGUUUAGAACGUCGUGAGACAGUUCGGUCCCUAUCUGCCGUGGGCGCUGGAGAACUAAGGGGGGCUGCUCCUAGUACGAGAGGACCGGAGUGGACGCAUCACUGGUGUUCGGGUUGUCAUGCCAAUGGCACUGCCCGGUAGCUAAAUGCGGAAGAGAUAAGUGCUGAAAGCAUCUAAGCACGAAACUUGCCCCGAGAUGAGUUCUCCCUGACUCCUUGAGAGUCCUAAAGGAACGUUGAAGACGACGACGUUGAUAGGCCGGGUGUGUAAGCGCAGCGAUGCGUUGAGCUAACCGGUACUAAUGAACCGUGAGGCUUAACCU